GACGAACGCUGGCGGCGUGCCUAAUACAUGCAAGUAGAACGCUGAAGGAGGAGCUUGCUUCUCUGGAUGAGUUGCGAACGGGUGAGUAACGCGUAGGUAACCUGCCUGGUAGCGGGGGAUAACUAUUGGAAACGAUAGCUAAUACCGCAUAAGAGUAGAUGUUGCAUGACAUUUGCUUAAAAGGUGCAAUUGCAUCACUACCAGAUGGACCUGCGUUGUAUUAGCUAGUUGGUGGGGUAACGGCUUACCAAGGCGACGAUACUUAGCCGACCUGAGAGGGUGAUCGGCCACACUGGGACUGAGACACGGCCCAGACUCCUACGGGAGGCAGCAGUAGGGAAUCUUCGGCAAUGGACGGAAGUCUGACCGAGCAACGCCGCGUGAGUGAAGAAGGUUUUCGGAUCGUAAAGCUCUGUUGUAAGAGAAGAACGAGUGUGAGAGUGGAAAGUUCACACUGUGACGGUAUCUUACCAGAAAGGGACGGCUAACUACGUG
Molecule: ribosomal RNA, 495 nt
Filed under: uncultured bacterium
Lineage: Bacteria
Description: partial 16S ribosomal RNA
Rfam family: Bacterial small subunit ribosomal RNA
Source: RNAcentral